RNAcentral lists this ribosomal RNA (450 nucleotides) under uncultured bacterium. Its description in RNAcentral is "partial 16S ribosomal RNA". It matches the Rfam family "Bacterial small subunit ribosomal RNA", at positions 338 to 795 of the family's 1533-position model. The record is from RNAcentral.
CCUACGGGAGGCUGCAGUAAGGAAUAUUGCGCAAUGGGCGAAAGCCUGACGCAGCGACGCCGCGUGGGGGAUGAAGGUCUUCGGAUUGUAAACCCCUUUCGGGAGGGAAGAUGGAGCGAGCAAUCGUUCGGACGGUACCUCCAGAAGCAGCCACGGCCAACUUCGUGCCAUCAGCCGCGGUAAUACGAAGGUGGCAAGCGUUGUUCGGAUGGACUGGGCGUGCAGGGUGGGUGGUUGGUUAGGUAAGUGUUAAAGCUUCGGGCCCAACCCGGAAAGCGCAGAGGGUACUGCCAGGCUAGAGGGUGGGAGAGGAGCGCGGAAUUCCAGGUGUAGCGGUGAAAUGCGUAGAGAUCGGGAGGAAGGCCGGUGGCGAAGGCGGCGCUCUGGAACAUACCUGACGCUGAGACACGAAAGCGUGGGGAGCAAACAGGAUUAGAUACCCUAGUAGUC